AUUGAACGCUGGCGGCAUGCCUUACACAUGCAAGUCGAACGGCAGCGCGGGAGCAAUCCUGGCGGCGAGUGGCGAACGGGUGAGUAAUAUAUCGGAACGUGCCCAGUAGUGGGGGAUAGCCCGGCGAAAGCCGGAUUAAUACCGCAUACGACCUGAGGGUGAAAGCGGGGGAGUCGCAAGACCUCGCGCUAUUGGAGCGGCCGAUAUCAGAUUAGCUAGUUGGUGGGGUAAAGGCCUACCAAGGCAACGAUCUGUAGUUGGUCUGAGAGGACGACCAGCCACACUGGGACUGAGACACGGCCCAGACUCCUACGGGAGGCAGCAGUGGGGAAUUUUGGACAAUGGGCGCAAGCCUGAUCCAGCAAUGCCGCGUGCAGGAAGAAGGCCUC
RNAcentral lists this ribosomal RNA (389 nucleotides) under uncultured bacterium. Its description in RNAcentral is "bacterial SSU rRNA". It matches the Rfam family "Bacterial small subunit ribosomal RNA", at positions 29 to 418 of the family's 1533-position model. The record is from RNAcentral.